GCAUAUCAAUUAAGCGGAGGAAAAGAAACCAACAGGGAUUGCCUCAGUAACGGCGAGUGAAGCGGCAAAAGCUCAAAUUUGAAAUCUAGCACCUUCGGUGUUCGAGUUGUAAUUUGAAGAUGGUAACCUUGGGUUUGGCUCUUGUCUAUGUUCCUUGGAACAGGACGUCAUAGAGGGUGAGAAUCCCGUCUGAUGAGAUGCCCAUUCCUAUGUAAGGUGCUAUCGAAGAGUCGAGUUGUUUGGGAAUGCAGCUCUAAGUGGGUGGUAAAUUCCAUCUAAAGCUAAAUAUUGGCGAGAGACCGAUAGCGAACAAGUACAGUGAUGGAAAGAUGAAAAGAACUUUGAAAAGAGAGUGAAAAAGUACGUGAAAUUGUUGAAAGGGAAGGGCAUUAGAUCAGACUUGGUGUUUUACGAUUAUCUUCUCUUCUUGAGUUGUGCACUCGUAUUUCACUGGGCCAGCAUCGAUUCGGAUGGCAAGAUAAUGGCAGUUGAAUGUGGCUUCACUUCGGUGGAGUGUUAUAGCUUCUGCUGAUAUUGCCUGUCUGGAUCGAGGGCUGCGUCUUUUGACUAGGAUGCUGGCGUAAUGAUCUAAUGCCGCCCGUCUG
Molecule: ribosomal RNA, 605 nt
Filed under: Hansenula anomala
Lineage: Eukaryota; Fungi; Ascomycota; Saccharomycetes; Phaffomycetales; Wickerhamomycetaceae
Description: eukaryotic LSU rRNA
Rfam family: Eukaryotic large subunit ribosomal RNA
Source: RNAcentral